AGAGGACUUUAUCCAUCUCCUAACAACUGCAGUGGUCUGCUGGACUAAAACAGAGCUGGCAUGAGAGCUCAGUGGUCCAGCCAAGGCUGGGCUCCUCUUGAAAGCUCUCUCAGUGAGACAAUGUUUGGGCAUCAGCAAUGGGCAGAGUGGUGAUUUCCAUCUUAGGAGGAAAGUUGGUUUUGUUUUUGUUUGUUUAAAUGGGGUUUCUAUGUGUAAUGAUGGGAAACUCUGAAAGGAAGAUACUUGAGCAUCCCUAAGAACCUCAACGAUGAUGCAAUUACAAGAGUAAUGCAACAAUUUAUGAACUUUUUUUCAGUGACAGACUUUGUAGGGCCUUUUGCUGUUAGUAGCAUAGUGGUUAAGAGGCCUCUACCUUGGAGAACAGAGCCUGUCUGGACUGAAAAAAAAUUGCAGCCUUGGGAUUCCUGUGGGAUUUGUCUUUCUCUAUGCUUUGGGAAACUGAAUGAGCUGCUUCCUUCGAGCUCUCUGAGAGAAUGUGCACGUGUUAUUAGGCAAUUUGUACCACUGGUUUUAUUUCCAAGAAGAAUGUCCAGCUCCGCUCUUUCCAGUGGUCAGAAGCCAUGAACUGGUCAAAAGGAGCAAGCUGUGCAGUGUCAGCACUGGUUUAUGUGCCACUCAGUACCCACCAAUGCCGUUCUCUCCAGCACCUUCCCAGGCACUUAGCACCCAUAAAGAGUGUUUUCUGAAAUCUGUGAAGCUGCGUGGUAGAGGCUUUGAGUAUCUCCUCCAUUACUACACAGCUCCAGUCUUCUUUCUUACCUGCAUGAAAUCUGCACUAUUUCAUUGAAUUGUUGGAGUUGGAAAGGACCUUUAAAGGUCAGCUGGUCCUACUCCCCUGUAGUAAUCAGGGACAUGUAUUGUGUUGGUGCAGUUACAUCCAUAUAAAGAUCUUUAAUACAGAAAAUAAUAAAUUCUGAUAUAAAGCACGUAUUGUAUUACAUAAACAUAAUUUUGCUUUCUUGAAGUUAUAUAUGAUGGUAAAAACCCGUGCUAUGAUUUUAGAGCUGGAAAGGCUCUGAGCUGGAAGAGGUUCUGGCUGAUGGUGUGCUGAAGUUCACUGCUGCAGUUCCUUUGAUUUUUUUUUUUUCCCCUCCAUCGUUUGUAGUGUUGAAGUUGUAAAAAGUGAUGUAUGUUUUCCCUAACUCUCCAGUGCAGAAGUGUAGGGAAAGGGCAUGACAAAUCUUGCAGUACAGUCUGAGGAUUUAAACACAAGUUGGUGAUUUAAUAGAAGAACGUUCCUGCUCCAGGAACAAGGAUUUUUUCGUAUUGCUUUUAAAAAUUUGAGGAACAUUUCUUUAACUUCAUCCUGUGUUGCAUAGUGUGUUUCCACCUGUGUGCCUCACAACCAAGCAUUUGCACUCUGGGGCUGCAGUGGUAGGGAGGUCACAACUGGAGUGUUGAAUUCUCCACAAUCCAAGGAUUUCCAGGUUUUUUGGUAAGGAAGGUGGGUUUUUUGUUGCUUUCGUUUUGACUUGACUCAGCUCACCUGGAUGUUAUGCCAGUACAUUGUUCUUCCUUUUUUUUCUAUCACAAAUAGUGGAAUUGUAGUGCAGUUAAAAUAAGUUUGCUGUAUCUGAGAAUCAGCUUCUAUAGUGAAAAUGUCAGAUUUUUCAAAAAACGUGUAGCUUAAACAUAAAGGUGUAAUUUCAGGAAACUGAUUGUAAGCAGUGAUGAUGAGGGUGGUGCAGUUACCAUUAGAUUAAAUACAACAACAAAGUACAUGCUGAAUUCAUCCACUUUACACUCUGUAAAAGGAUACACGUUGUGGUAUGGAUGGCUUUAGCAGUGGCUGAGAUGCUGCUGAUACCUACAGAUCUCUGCAUUUCUUAGAUUAAAUAGUUUUGUUUAAUGGACUGGACUUAGAAACCCUUUGGUUUGGUUUGUAUGGCUGGUGCUACUUUUUUUAACACCUGUUUUUAAUUAGUGAAAUGUUUAGGAUAAGCCUUUGUUACCUAAAAGUGGAAGUUGUGCAAAGAUGAUGCAUAGAAGUUGUUACAGCAGUUUAUGUAGCCCGAGAAAAGAACACAGUUUCUUUGAAAAGCUCUUAGGAAGAUCUCCAGACCCUUUGGUUAGUGGUUCUGGAAUGAGCACGGAAUGCUGACAACGGAAAGCAAAACCAUAAUUGUGCUUAUGUGACAGUGCCAAGUAAUUGGAACGUUUAAAGUAAGUCAGGCGCAGGCUCUGCAUCCAUAUUACGUGACUUCUUUAAACAUUUAAAGAUGAUUUCUCUUUUUGAAGCAUAAAAAUAUCUUCAAAUUAUUCUGAUAUCUGUUAGGAAUAGGAAGUAUUAGAAACAUUUUGGAUUGUUUUGGAAGCAGCAAACAAAUUAUUCUGAACUUGAAAUGGGGAAUUUUGCACUAUUAUCUCCAUAUUAAGAAGGUGGUUCUUGCUUACCACAGAUACCAUUUUCUUAAGUGCUUUUCUGAAAGAUCUUUCUCACUCUUUUUCUUAAUUUGGUCUAUAACAUAAUGUAACCAAGGAAUACAAUACUCAUUAAGCUCUUGCAUAUGUUUGAUCCACGCAUCUUUUGGUUCUCUUCCCUGACUCUAAGAAUAUCUUUUCCUUUACAAAGAAUUAGACACUAGUGAUGCUUUUAGUUUCAGUCCCUUUCCAUGGGCAGGGCUGCCAACCCAGUACUACAUCAGGUAUCAGUCCAGGCUGCCCAGGGCAUCAUCCAACCCGGCCUUGAGCUCCUCCAGCAGCUUAUUUAAAUGUUUCUCACUCUUUAUCUGAAAAAAUUGCAGAAGGUUGUAUUUGGUUCACAUGCAGUCAUAUUUCAAGUUCAUUCCACUGUGUAUAUCCUAUAAAACAAAUCCUGUGCCAGUAACAUGAUAUUUUCAAUUAAGUGUAUUUUAAUUUACUAACCUUACUGUGUCUCCAUUAAUAUUACGCAGGUACUUGUCAGUGAGGACUCUGACAGUGAUGGUAUCGUGGCCCACUUCCCUGCACAUGAAAAGCCUAUAUGCUGCAUGGCUUUUAACCCUAGUGACAGCAAAAAAUGGCUGAUUGCAGGAGCAGUGGAAGAAAUGGCCGGUGAAUCAACAGCUUCCCCUGGCCAAAAUUAAUGGUUUCUAAAAUGUAGCAAAUGGCACAGGGAACUUGGGGAUGAAGUCACAUUUCAAAGAAUAAAGCUGAGUGUCUGUCA
Meleagris gallopavo (turkey) is the source of this 3166-nucleotide non-coding RNA. NCBI's taxonomy places the organism in Eukaryota, Metazoa, Chordata, Aves, Galliformes, Phasianidae. The record is from RefSeq and is a predicted model, not a curated record.